RNAcentral lists this ribosomal RNA (517 nucleotides) under uncultured Bacillus sp. RNAcentral describes it as "bacterial SSU rRNA". It matches the Rfam family "Bacterial small subunit ribosomal RNA", at positions 36 to 507 of the family's 1533-position model. Lineage: Bacteria; Bacillati; Bacillota; Bacilli; Caryophanales; Bacillaceae. The record is from RNAcentral.
CCGUCGGCGUACGAGGACGAACGACCUGGCGGCGGUGCCUAAUACAUAGCAAGUCGAGCGGACAGAACGGGAGCUUGCUCCCGGAUGUUAGCGGCGGACGGGUGAGUAACACGUGGGUAACCGUGCCUGUAAGACUGGGAUAACUCCGGGAACCGGAGCUAAUACCGGAUAGUUCCUUGAACCGCAUGGUUCAAGGAUGAAAGACGGUUUCGGCUGUCACUUACAGAUGGACCCGCGGCGCAUUAGCUAGUUGGUGGGGGUAAUGGCUCACCAAGGCGACGAUGCGUAGCCGACCUGAGAGGGUGAUCGGCCACACUGGGACUGAGACACGGCCCAGACUCCUACGGGAGGCAGCAGUAGGGAAUCUUCCGCAAUGGACGAAAGUCUGACGGAGCAACGCCGCGUGAGUGAUGAAGGUUUUCGGAUCGUAAAGCUCUGUUGUUAGGGAAGAACAAGUGCGAGAGUAACUGCUCGCACCUUGACGGUACCUAACCAGAAAGCCACGGCUAACUACGUG